Molecule: long non-coding RNA, 258 nt
Filed under: Mytilus galloprovincialis (Mediterranean mussel)
Lineage: Eukaryota; Metazoa; Mollusca; Bivalvia; Mytilida; Mytilidae
Source: RNAcentral
AUGCCACGAAAAUCUACUAGAACACGUGGGCGUGGUGGUAGGGGUUGAUGUAGAGGCAGAGGGAGCUCUGAUAGUAACGAAUCCUGAUCAAGUAGUUAUGUCGGACCAACCAAUCCAACCUAAAUUAAAACCUAUUGCUGGUCUAUAAACUAUAAAGCUGAAUUGACGAUAUUUUAGUGAACGAUAGCAGAGAUGACACAGAAGUGUCAAUAGAUAUAGGAAGAUGUGGUAUGAGUGCCAAUGAGACAACUCUCCAUC